This is a long non-coding RNA of Choloepus didactylus (southern two-toed sloth), 207 nucleotides long. RefSeq lists it as uncharacterized. NCBI's taxonomy places the organism in Eukaryota, Metazoa, Chordata, Mammalia, Pilosa, Megalonychidae. The transcript is spliced from 3 exons. The record is from RefSeq and is a predicted model, not a curated record.
GCUACUUCUAGUGUCAGCCAAGGAAAACCUUCUUUAAGACGAAUAAAAGGGAGGCUACACAGAAGCAAAAGUCUCGAUAGCAGUGAUUUUUGUGAACUCACUUUUGAAGGCUGCGGCCCCAGAAGGAUGGAAACCUUUAUCACCCAGAGGUGAAUGAGAAUGUUGAGAAACUUAAGGCCUCCACAUGGCUCCUAUGCCAGAUAAGCC